GCUAUCUGCAAGUCGAGCGACUGAUUAGAAGCUUGCUUCUAUGACGUUAGCGGCGGACGGGUGAGUAACACGUGGGCAACCUGCCUGUAAGACUGGGAUAACUUCGGGAAACCGAAGCUAAUACCGGAUAGGAUCUUCUCCUUCAUGGGAGAUGAUUGAAAGAUGGUUUCGGCUAUCACUUACAGAUGGGCCCGCGGUGCAUUAGCUAGUUGGUGAGGUAACGGCUCACCAAGGCAACGAUGCAUAGCCGACCUGAGAGGGUGAUCGGCCACACUGGGACUGAGACACGGCCCAGACUCCUACGGGAGGCAGCAGUAGGGAAUCUUCCGCAAUGGACGAAAGUCUGACGGAGCAACGCCGCGUGAGUGAUGAAGGCUUUCGGGUCG
RNAcentral lists this ribosomal RNA (386 nucleotides) under Priestia megaterium. RNAcentral describes it as "bacterial SSU rRNA". It matches the Rfam family "Bacterial small subunit ribosomal RNA", at positions 50 to 425 of the family's 1533-position model. The record is from RNAcentral. Lineage: Bacteria; Bacillati; Bacillota; Bacilli; Caryophanales; Bacillaceae.